AUAUCAAUAAGCGGAGGAAAAGAAACCAACAGGGAUUGCCCUAGUAACGGCGAGUGAAGCGGCAACAGCUCAAAUUUGAAAUCUGGCCUUCGGGUCCGAAUUGUAAUUUGUAGAGGAUGCUUUUGGUGAGGUGCCUUCCGAGUUCCCUGGAACGGGACGCCAUAGAGGGUGAGAGCCCCGUCUGGUUGGACACCGAUCCUCUGUAAAGCUCCUUCGACGAGUCGAGUAGUUUGGGAAUGCUGCUCUAAAUGGGAGGUAUAUGUCUUCUAAAGCUAAAUAUUGGCCAGAGACCGAUAGCGCACAAGUAGAGUGAUCGAAAGAUGAAAAGCACUUUGAAAAGAGAGUUAAAAAGUACGUGAAAUUGUUGAAAGGGAAGCGCUCAUGACCAGACUUGGGCUUGGUUGAUCAUCCAGGGUUCUCCCUGGUGCACUCUUCCAGCUCAGGCCAGCAUCAGUUCGCUGUGGGGGAUAAAGGCUUCGGGAAUGUGGCUCCUCCGGGAGUGUUAUAGCCCGUUGUGUAAUACCCUGUGGUGGACUGAGGUUCGCGCAUCUGCAAGGAUGCUGGCGUAAUGGUCAUCAGCGACCCGUCUUGAAACACGGACCAAGGAGUCGUCUUCGUAUGCGAGUGUUCGGGUGUUAAACCCCUACGCGUAAUGAAAGUGAACGCAGGUGAGAGCUUCGGCGCAUCAUCGACCGAUCCUGAUGUUCUCGGAUGGAUUUGAGUAAGAGCAUACGGGGCCGGACCCGAAAGAAGGUGAACUAUGCCUGUAUAGGGUGAAGCCAGAGGAAACUCUGGUGGAGGCUCGCAGCGGUUCUGACGUGCAAAUCGAUCGUCAAAUAUGGGCAUGGGGGCGAAAGACUAAUCG
Molecule: ribosomal RNA, 865 nt
Filed under: Cylindrodendrum alicantinum
Lineage: Eukaryota; Fungi; Ascomycota; Sordariomycetes; Hypocreales; Nectriaceae
Description: partial large subunit ribosomal RNA
Rfam family: Eukaryotic large subunit ribosomal RNA
Source: RNAcentral